AUUGAACCCUGGCGGCAGGCUUAACACACGCAAGUCGAGCGGGGUGAUGGUGCUUGCACUAUCACUUAGCGGCGGACGGGUGAGUAAUGCUUAGGAAUCUGCCUAUUAGUGGGGGACAACAUCUCGAAAGGGAUGCUAAUACCGCAUACGUCCUACGGGAGAAAGCAGGGGAUCACUUGUGACCUUGCGCUAAUAGAUGAGCCUAAGUCGGAUUAGCUAGUUGGUGGGGUAAAGGCCUACCAAGGCGACGAUCUGUAGCGGGUCUGAGGGGAUGAUCCGCCACACUGGGACUGAGACACGGCCCAGACUCCUACGGGAGGCAGCAGUGGGGAAUAUUGGACAAUGGGGGGAACCCUGAUCCAGCCAUGCCGCGUGUGUGAAGAAGGCCUUAUGGUUGUAAAGCACUUUAAGCGAGGAGGAGGCUCUUUUGGUUAAUACCCAAGAUGAGUGGACGUUACUCGCAGAAUAAGCACCGGCUAACUCUGUGCCAGCAGCCGCGGUAA
Molecule: ribosomal RNA, 503 nt
Filed under: uncultured bacterium
Lineage: Bacteria
Description: partial 16S ribosomal RNA
Rfam family: Bacterial small subunit ribosomal RNA
Source: RNAcentral